AUUGAACGCUGGCGGCAUGCCUUACACAUGCAAGUCGAACGGUAACAGGUCUUCGGAUGCUGACGAGUGGCGAACGGGUGAGUAAUACAUCGGAACGUGCCUAGUAGUGGGGGAUAACUACUCGAAAGAGUGGCUAAUACCGCAUGAGAUCUACGGAUGAAAGCAGGGGAUCGCAAGACCUUGUGCUACUAGAGCGGCCGAUGGCAGAUUAGGUAGUUGGUGGGAUAAAAGCUUACCAAGCCGACUAUCUGUAGCUGGUCUGAGAGGACGAUCAGCCACACUGGGACUGAGACACGGCCCAGACUCCUACGGGAGGAAGCAGUGGGGAAUUUUGGACAAUGGGCGCAAGCCUGAUCCAGCAAUGCCGCGUGCAGGAUGAAGGCCUUCGGGUUGUAAACUGCUUUUGUACGGAACGAAAAGCCCCGGGUUAAUACCCUGGGGUCACGACGGUACCGUAAGAAUAAGCACCGGCUAACUACGUGCCAGCCGCCGCCGUAA
This 498-nucleotide ribosomal RNA is filed under the name uncultured bacterium. Its description in RNAcentral is "partial 16S ribosomal RNA". It matches the Rfam family "Bacterial small subunit ribosomal RNA", at positions 30 to 523 of the family's 1533-position model. The record is from RNAcentral.